GACGAACGCUGGCGGCGUGCUUAACACAUGCAAGUCGAGCGGUAAGGCCCUUUCGGGGGUACACGAGCGGCGAACGGGUGAGUAACACGUGGGUGACCUGCCUUUAGCUCUGGGAUAAGCCUGGGAAACUGGGUCUAAUACCGGAUAUGACUCCAUGAUGCAUGUUGUGGGGUGGAAAGCCUUGUGCGGCUGGAGAUGGGCCCGCGGCCUAUCAGUUUGUUGGUGGGGUGANGGCCUACCAAGGCGACGACGGGUAGCCGGCCUGAGAGGGCGACCGGCCACACUGGGACUGAGACACGGCCCAGACUCCUACGGGAGGCAGCAGUGGGGAAUCUUGCGCAAUGGGCGAAAGCCUGACGCAGCGACGCCGCGUGAGGGA
Molecule: ribosomal RNA, 379 nt
Filed under: uncultured bacterium
Lineage: Bacteria
Description: bacterial SSU rRNA
Rfam family: Bacterial small subunit ribosomal RNA
Source: RNAcentral